AUUGUUUAGAAGCAGUAAAUAGCUUUGUUAGUGUUUCCAUGGUCAAGAUGUAUCACAAUCCAAAGCCUUUAACUAAUUAUAAGAGUUACAGAUGGAUUAGGAGUGUUUAGACAACACUUAUACCCAUUUUCUCCUAAAACAGACCAAAACCAACAAAAAAUUGCUUAAAAGCACUAACCAGUUUUGUUAGUGUUUCUAUGGUCAAAAUGUGUCACAAUCUAAAGCCUUUAACUAAUUAUAAGAGUUAGGGAUGGAUU
This 257-nucleotide small RNA is filed under the name Arabidopsis thaliana (thale cress). RNAcentral's name for it is "ATSL034820". The record is from RNAcentral. Lineage: Eukaryota; Viridiplantae; Streptophyta; Magnoliopsida; Brassicales; Brassicaceae.